UAAGGAAUAUUGGACAAUGGAGGCAACUCUGAUCCAGCCAUGCCGCGUGAAGGAAUAAGGCCCUAUGGGUUGUAAACUUCUUUUAGACGGGACAAAACCCCUUUACGUGUAAAGGGUUGAUGGUACUGUCAAAAUAAGCAUCGGCUAACUUCGUGCCAGCAGCCGCGGUAAUACGAAGGAUGCAAGCGUUAUCCGGAAUUAUUGGGUUUAAAGGGUGCGUAGGCGGACUAAUAAGUCAGUGGUGAAAGCCUGCAGCUUAACUGCAGAAUUGCCAUUGAUACUGUUAGUCUUGAGUACAGUUGAGGUAGGCGGAAUGUGUCAUGUAGCGGUGAAAUGCUUAGAUAUGACACAGAACACCGAUUGCGAAGGCAGCUUGCUAAGCUGUAACUGACGCUGAGGCACGAAAGCGUGGGGAGCAAACA
This 422-nucleotide ribosomal RNA is filed under the name uncultured bacterium. RNAcentral describes it as "bacterial SSU rRNA". It matches the Rfam family "Bacterial small subunit ribosomal RNA", at positions 355 to 774 of the family's 1533-position model. The record is from RNAcentral.